This is a long non-coding RNA of Salmo salar (Atlantic salmon), 525 nucleotides long. RefSeq lists it as uncharacterized. Lineage: Eukaryota; Metazoa; Chordata; Actinopteri; Salmoniformes; Salmonidae. The record is from RefSeq and is a predicted model, not a curated record.
UUUAUUUUUACCAGGCAAGUCAGUUUUUACCUUGUCAGCUCUGGGAUUCGAUCCAGCAACCUUUCGGUUACUGGCCCAACGCUCUAACCACAAGGCUACCUAACCUAACAAAAUGUGGCAAAAGUCGAAGGGUCUGAAGACUUUCCAAAUGCGCCGUAUAGUAGAUUACAUUUUAGUCAUAAUGUGUUCUAGUACUCCUGCAAUGCCUGCUGGUAAACUGUCAUCCUUUUGCCCCUAGUCUGUUGGUGUCCACAUACUCAGUGCCUUCCACAGUGAUGCACCUGUACUACUUCCCUAUCCUGCUGGGAACCUGUGAGGAUGGAAAUAUCAUCAGUGUCCUCAUUGACCCUGAUGCUGAUAGAGAAAUGAUCAAUUGGAAGGAUGACACGUGAAUUCUUGGAAUGGUGGCCAACGAUGAAAAAAGCAGUUGGUUGGUAGACGAGAAGAAAGGACAGGUUGUGCUUGGCGUCUUGUAUGUCAUGGGCCAGGGCUCCCGAGUGGCGCAGUGGUCUAAGGCACUGCAUC